UAUGUAGAUUCUUCUUGUUACAUAUAUUGAUAAUUAUUUCAAAGGCAAGCCACUAUUCGUAAAACAUGUAUUUUUUGUGCUAUAUAUUGCGACGUGACAAAUUAAAAUCUAAAACUUACCCUGAAGAAUAGCAUUGCUCUUAAUCUGUCUGGUGAAGAAUUGUCCUCGGCCCUAGAGGAAUUUCCUCUUAAUUUUGGAGAUUUUUUGAUACAAGAAAUCUCGGGAAAAUAUUGAACUGCAAAAUUGUAUAAUAUGCCCAUUUUCUUUAUUCUAUUUCAUGUCAAACUUAUUACACUAUGGAAUAAAAACACGAAUUAUAUACGGUUUGCCAGCACCUAAUUAUCUCAAAUGUAUGUAUGCAUAACAAUAUAUUAACACUUGCAUUGCUGUUUCCAAAAAAAAAAAAAAAAAAAAAGGAUAAACCUUUUCCUGAGUUAUUGGGCUGUUGAAUUUUUCUUUCCGAAUAACUAAUGGCUAUCUGCCUAUCUCAAGGAAAAGCUAACAAUUCAAAACGAACGUAUCAAGGCGGUUUUCAAGAUAGGUACGGAGUAUCGAUCAGAGUUAAUGGUGGGAUUUGGGAAGAUUACCUUCCUAAAUUCCAGUACUUGUGAAGGCUUUUAUGGAUUUAUUUACAGAAUAUGCAAUCUAGUACCCCCCGAUGAUCAUAUAUAUAGCUGACGCACUGAUUCAUUCCCCACCCUGCACCAAAUUAAAGAAGAUGGACUCGGUACAAGAGAGCGUCAAAACUUCUGCUGCCGCGCAAACGCAUUUUAUACUCCAAGAAAAUCAAUGCUUUGUGAACAAAAUUCUUUCAAGAAACUCUUCCGUUGGCCGUUCUUCGCAUUUCUAUUACCGGAACCCUGGAGACGUUCCCUUCAACUGGGAAGUGAAGCCUGGCAAGCCAAAAGAAGAUCAUCCACCCCAUGAUCAUGACGAUGCUGAUAUUUUCCCGCCUUCCCUAGGUCCCCCGGGACCUCCUCCGGCGGUGCACAGCGAAGGCAUUUCUCGGCCAUCAGUCGAAAGCUCGCCAAGGUCAAGAAUAUUCUUAUGGAAGAAGUUCAUGAAAAACCUAAUUAAGGCCAAGAAGUUCAAAGCUAUGUCUCGGCUGAAGCGCGAGAAUAGUUUUGUUCGUUCUGAACAUGGCGGCGAUAAAUUUGACGAGUUUGAGCUUACUAACUCGAAGAAUGACUUUGGUGGCUCAAGUAGCUUGCAAUCGUUUUUUUCAUCCAACGGGUCGUCGUCUUGCUCCUCCUCCUCUUCUAAUAGUGUUCUUGCUUUGUACCAGCGUUCAAAACUACAUAAACUUGGCAAGGGUUUUGUUAGAUGGGCAUUCCAAUGGCGAGAACGUUGAGGUUGGGAUUUUGUAUAAAUUAGUACGUACGAUGAAACAUUCGGGUUAAUUUACAAAUAUUUCAUCUUUUUUAUGUUCUCUCUCACAAACUUUUGGAAGUUCACGUGUGUGUCUGCGGAUGCGCACAGGAAGAGGUUCCGAGAGCAGAAGCUUAGAAUGCCGAUGGGUUCUGUUGCAACUAUAUAUUUGUUUCAAUCCACAGAUUCCAAAAUCAAUUUGUCAAAUUCUAAAGUGAAAUGGUAACGACUUUAAAAUUCUUAUCCUUGAAAUUAAAUCUGACGGAAAAUGAUAGAGAUAUAACAUUUGAAUACUCUGAUUUAAAUGGAAGGCUGAUCAGUCUUUUACAUAUACACACGUGUAAAAGGUUCGUGCACCUUAAGAAUGGAUGCCGAACUGAAGAUCCCAGAAGGUAAAAUGCCCAUGUCUGCCUUCAUAAAAAUCUCUUCUGCAUGCACACGGAUCGUUUCUCGCUAGUAUAAAUACAGUCGUAUUAUAUUUUUGGGAACCAAUUCGAAUGUGCCUUCUCUUGCCACCCAGGCCCUCGAUCCCUUCACCCCUUCAAGCUCUCUCUCUCUCUCUCUCUCUCUCUCUCUCUCUCUCUCUCUCUCUGUGGCGUCCUUGUCUUUUCGCUUGUGUAAAUUAAAAAUGUCCGUUUGGGAGUAAUGAAAAGGAAGGUGAAUAUUGGAAUCCGCUUUCGCUGCACCCUUCAUGUGUAAAACAAGCAAUUGGUUAACAAAGCUGAAUCGUAGGACUUUUUCACAAAGUUUAGCUCUAUGAGGUUCGUUACUUAGCAUCUGGAUAUUGGCUGCAAACGGUGACCCACUGAAGUUUUUAGGACCGCAUGAUUGUGGAUGAUAAGAAAAUUUUUAGUCAGUUAUUGCGAACUUUUUGGUCUAUUUGUUGCUUUCAAUAUAUAGUUUCUUUUUCCUGGACAAUGAAGAGUUCGAUAAAGGCUUCUUGUGGAAUUCUAUAGAAUAAAGAUGAAUGUCCCUGAUUGGGGUAGCUUUUGUGCGAUUUAGGAUCUUGGUUGGUCUAUGGGAGGUGUCUAAGAGUGAUUCUAACUCUCACUGGAAAUGUUUGUGGAGAUUUCAUCUUGGAAUUUGCAGUGAUGUCACCAGCGAUUGCAAUGUAUUUUCUCCUAUACUUUCCAUGCUAUUUUGUUGGCAUUUAAUUUUUACAAAUGGUCAUUUUAUAAAUGAGUCUCCAAAAUGUUGGAGAAUGGCAUGAGAUUGCUAAAUAAUGAGGACAACUUUGGAAAUCGGGAGUUAUAGAGAGCACCAAAGUUCCAAGCCUCAUAGAGGACCAGAAAAUUGGGAUGGAAUGCGUAAUAAAAGCUUUAGUGGAUGAAGCCUAAAAGAAUGAUAAUAACAAUAAGUGUAUAUAUAUAUGGCAUUUGUGCCUAAAAUAUUUUUGAACUAGAUAGCUUUAGAAAUUCUUAUGACAUUAUUCAUCCGUUAUGCAAAGCUCCAUUUGGGGAGGGAGGGAGGAAAGAUACAUUCCGCAACAGGGUGAUGUGCCAAAGGAAUAGCAUAUGGAGUUUUGUGAAGUGAAACUCCUACUUUUGCCGUCUUCUUGAUCUAUUUUCCUUUAUUACUUUUCUACGAUUCAACCUGGUUGUUUUCAGGCCCGUCUGCUAUUAUAAUAAGAUUGGCUAGCCAUUUCAUUGAUUGAACGUUUGUCCAUCUGUAUGAUACUGGAUUUCAUCUAUGCUUUACAUGACAUAUGGAUUGCAUCUAUAUGUCUGUUAUUGACGUUUACUCUGGCUUGCUGGUUUUAUCCUAAUUCCUGCUUGUAGAAACCAGCCACAGAUGGCAAAUUUAAGCAGUGCACCUAUGAAGAGCUGCCCCGCUAAACUGAGUUUGAGGUCUAAGAGAGAAAUUGAGUAGAUCAUAGCUGACCGCACCAUGUGCUAGCCCAUACACGAUACACCCACUGCAUGAGUGGAAUACUACUUGGUCAAAUCGAAGGGCCAACCUGAGAGCAAGGCAAGCUCGGAACAGGCUGAAACUUACAAUUCAAGAACAAGGUCAUGGUCGAAAUGUUUCUAAAGCUAAACAAGGAGGAGAUGGAAGAACUCGCAGUCGUACUUUGGAAACUGUGAAGAAGAAAUGAGUUUGUCUUUAAAAAUACUCUCACUCACCCAAACUCUUUGUUGCAGAGUGCAUAUUAGUUGCUGCAAGAGUUUAGAGAAACUCAACAUGGAAACCAAUCAGCCAGCAACUACUAACAAUCGGGUGGAACCGUGGAAGAAUGGGAAGCUCCUCCAAGAUAUUUUUUUAAAAUCAAUUGGGAUGCUGGUGUGGAUAGGGUACACUGCAAGGUAAGUAUUGGGACUGUUCGAGAUUGGGAGGGCAAGGUUUUGGCCACAAGGAGGAAGAAGCAAGACUGAUUCCCAGACCCCCUAGUAGCAGAAACUUAUGCAGCUCUUCAAGCAGCAAUUUUUGGUAGUGAACUGGGUUUGAGAAGAAUAAUAUUAGAGGGAGAUGCAUGCAAAGUUGUGAAGGCUGUCCAAGGUUCUGUGGAAUAUUUCAAUUGUUUUGGAAUGCUAUUAUCAGACAUCAGAUUCCAGCUGCAAAGUUUUGAACACUGGUCAAUCAGACACAUCCAGGAGCCAAUAUAGUUCCUCACACUCUAGGCAAGAAUGAAUUAGGCAUUACAGAUUUUAUUGUUGACAUGGAGGAAACUCCCGAGUGUAUUCAAUCUGUGUUACAUAGUUUUUAAUCAAUGAAACUUGCAUGAUUUAAAAAAAAAAAUGUUGGUUCCUCUGGCUGCUAUAUUUUGAUA
This is a long non-coding RNA of Carya illinoinensis, 4135 nucleotides long. RefSeq lists it as uncharacterized. The record is from RefSeq and is a predicted model, not a curated record. NCBI's taxonomy places the organism in Eukaryota, Viridiplantae, Streptophyta, Magnoliopsida, Fagales, Juglandaceae. The transcript has 3 exons.